AUUGAACGCUGGCGGCAUGCUUUACACAUGCAAGUCGAACGGCAGCGCGGGCUUCGGCCUGGCGGCGCGUGGCGAACGGGUGAGUAAUGCAUCGGAACGUGCCCAGUAGUGGGGGAUAGCCCGGCGAAAGCCGGAUUAAUACCGCAUACGACCUGAGGGUGAAAGCGGGGGACCGAAAGGCCUAGCGCUAUUGGAGCGGCCGAUGUCGGAUUAGCUAGUUGGUGGGGUAAAGGCUUACCAAGGCGACGAUCCGUAGCUGGUCUGAGAGGACGACCAGCCACACUGGGACUGAGACACGGCCCAGACUCCUACGGGAGGCAGCAGUGGGGAAUUUUGGACAAUGGGGGCAACCCUGAUCCAGCCAUGCCGCGUGCGGGAAGAAGGCCUUCGGGUUGUAAACCGCUUUUGUUAGGGAAGAAAACCUCUGGGCUAAUACCCCGGGGGGAUGACGGUACCGGAAGAAUAAGCACCGGCUAACUACGUG
This 484-nucleotide ribosomal RNA is filed under the name uncultured bacterium. RNAcentral's name for it is "partial 16S ribosomal RNA". It matches the Rfam family "Bacterial small subunit ribosomal RNA", at positions 29 to 507 of the family's 1533-position model. The record is from RNAcentral.